This 76-nucleotide transfer RNA is filed under the name Faecalibacterium prausnitzii. Its description in RNAcentral is "tRNA-Ala". It matches the Rfam family "tRNA". Rfam says of the family: Transfer RNA (tRNA) molecules are approximately 80 nucleotides in length. Their secondary structure includes four short double-helical elements and three loops (D, anti-codon, and T loops). Lineage: Bacteria; Bacillati; Bacillota; Clostridia; Eubacteriales; Oscillospiraceae. RNAcentral also lists the same sequence under 91 other names. The record is from RNAcentral.
GGGGGUGUAGCUCAGCUGGGAGAGCACCUGCCUUGCAAGCAGGGGGUCAGGAGUUCGAUUCUCCUCAUCUCCACCA